GUCUCCGUAGAUUAGUGGUUAGAUCGCAACGUUGUGGCCGUAGCAACUCCGUUGUAACGCGUGUUCGACUCACGCCGGGGACA
This 83-nucleotide transfer RNA is filed under the name Auriculariales sp. MPI-PUGE-AT-0066. RNAcentral describes it as "tRNA-His". It matches the Rfam family "tRNA". From Rfam's summary of the family: Transfer RNA (tRNA) molecules are approximately 80 nucleotides in length. Their secondary structure includes four short double-helical elements and three loops (D, anti-codon, and T loops). Lineage: Eukaryota; Fungi; Basidiomycota; Agaricomycetes; Auriculariales. The record is from RNAcentral.